Molecule: transfer RNA, 72 nt
Organism: Streptomyces clavuligerus
Lineage: Bacteria; Bacillati; Actinomycetota; Actinomycetes; Kitasatosporales; Streptomycetaceae
Rfam family: tRNA
About the family: Transfer RNA (tRNA) molecules are approximately 80 nucleotides in length. Their secondary structure includes four short double-helical elements and three loops (D, anti-codon, and T loops). Further hydrogen bonds mediate the characteristic L-shaped molecular structure. tRNAs have two regions of fundamental functional importance: the anti-codon, which is responsible for specific mRNA codon recognition, and the 3' end, to which the tRNAs corresponding amino acid is attached (by aminoacyl-tRNA synthetases). tRNAs cope with the degeneracy of the genetic code in two manners: having more than one tRNA (with a specific anti-codon) for a particular amino acid; and 'wobble' base-pairing, i.e. permitting non-standard base-pairing at the 3rd anti-codon position.
Source: Rfam
UGGCCUAUGGUGUAAUUGGCAGCACGACUGAUUCUGGUUCAGUUAGUCUUGGUUCGAGUCCAGGUAGGCCAG